RNAcentral lists this ribosomal RNA (253 nucleotides) under uncultured bacterium. Its description in RNAcentral is "partial 16S ribosomal RNA". It matches the Rfam family "Bacterial small subunit ribosomal RNA", at positions 524 to 776 of the family's 1533-position model. The record is from RNAcentral.
UACAGAGGUCCCGAGCGUUGUUCGGAUUCACUGGGCGUAAAGGGUGCGUAGGUGGUGAGGUAAGUCGGAUGUGAAAUCUCCAAGCUCAACUUGGAAAUGGCAUUGGAAACUACCUUGCUGGAGGUUUGGAGGGGGGACUGGAAUUCUCGGUGUAGCAGUGAAAUGCGUAGAUAUCGAGAGGAACACCAGUGGCGAAGGCGGUUCUCUGGGACGGUACUGACGCUGAGACGCGAAAGCGUGGGGAGCGAACAGG